Molecule: long non-coding RNA, 625 nt
Filed under: Rattus norvegicus (Norway rat)
Lineage: Eukaryota; Metazoa; Chordata; Mammalia; Rodentia; Muridae
Description: long non-coding RNA NONRATT008030
Source: RNAcentral
AGAAGGCCCAGGAGAAAGGAUAAGUCAAUGCGGUUUCUUGCAUGUUACUUCUGACGACCACCAAACAGAAGGCGGGGUUUCUUUGGCAAGUCCAACAAAGGGAGGGCGAUGGAGAUGGAGUGAGGGCGCCUCUCCUCCCUGUCACCAGGAGAGACACGUGGAGACUGUUAGAGAAGACAGGUGCUCAAAAGCCAGGGCGAGGGGCCUCACUGGAACGAACCGAAUCAUAGGAGGAUUCUAUAGACUCCAGCACUGUGAGAAGCUAUUCAGGUUCAGAGGUAUUAACCAAGCUCUGACCUUCUGAGCCUCUACUCACUGCUAUCCCAAGUACUGGAGUCCCAUGGGAUCGUGAGGGUCAGAGAGGUAACAAGGUGGCUUGGAGGAGUAUGUGGAUAUCUCAGAACACCGGAGGCAAAAUGGCUGCAGCUUCGAGUACUGGUGAAUCCAGGAGCUCAAACGUGGAGUCAAGAUUCCCUCCCUCGCUUCCCUGCUUGUCAGCUGUGGUUGUCUCUGCUCCUCUUUGGUGACUUUUAGGAGGUAUGUGCUGGGCACCCCUCUGCACACAGCAUCGCCGUGGCUGUGGUGAGAACGCUGGUUUCUUUUAAAACCACGGAAAUAUGAUGCG